CUCUUCCUCGCUCUCUAUUUUCCCUCUUUUCCGCCCGUUUUUCAGACCCAUUUUUUUCUCGCUCCUCUUUUUGCCCUUUUUCUCCUCAUUUAGGGGGAGGUCCUCGUCCGAGUCGCUGGGGGGGGGCUCUUCCUCCUCCUCUUCCUCCUCUUCCUCACUCUCCGUUUUCCCCCUUUUCCGCCCAUUUUUCACACCCGUUUUUUUCUCAGUCUCUUUCCUCUUUUUGCCCUUUUUCUCCUCGUUUUUGGGGGGCGGCUUCUUCCUCUUUUCUUCCUCUUCUUCCUCCUCCUCCUCUUCCUCCUCCUCUUCCUCGCUCUCUAUUUUCCCUCUUUUCCGCCCGUUUUUCAGACCCAUUUUUUUCUCGCUCCUCUUUUUGCCCUUUUUCUCCUCAUUUUCGGAAGUUGGUUUCUUCUUCUCUUCUUCUUCCUCCUCCUCCUCUUCAUCUUCUUCAUCCUCUUCCUCGCUGUCCAUUUUCACUCCUUUGGCCCCAUUUUUCACAGGUUGUUUCUUCUCGCUCUCACUCCUCUUUUUGCCCGUUUCCACCCCAUUUUUAGGGGACCGUUUCUUCCUCUUUUCCUCUUCUUCCUCCUCCUCCUCCUCCUCUUCCUCACUCUCCGUUUCGACCCUUUUCCGCCCAUUUCUCACAGCCUGUUUUUUCUCACUCUCGCUCCUCUUUUUGCCUGUUUUCACCCCAUUUUGGGGGGGUGACUUCUUCCUCUUUUCCUCUUCUUCCUCCUCCUCUUCCUCACUCUCCGUUUCGACCUUUUUCCGCCCAUUUUUCACGGGCCGUUUUUUCUCACUCUCACUCCUCUUUUUCUCCUUUUUCUCCUCGUUUUUGGGGGGCGGCUUCUUCCUCUUGUCUUCCUCCUCUUCUUCAUCCUCCUCGUCUUCCUCUUCAUCUUCCUCACUCUCUGUUCCGACCCUUUUCCGCCCAUUUCUCACAGCCUGGUUUUUCUCGCUCUCGCCCCUCUUUUUGCCCGUUUUCACCCCAUUUUUGGGGGGCGGCUUCUUCCUCUUCUCCUCAUCAUCCUCCUCCUCUUCCUCACUCUCUGUUUCGACCCUUUUCCGCCCAUUUUUCACAGGCUGUUUUUUUUCACUCUCACUCAUCUUUUUGCCCCUUUUCUCCUCAUUUUGGGAGGGCGGCUUCUUCCUCUUCUCCUCUUCCUCCUCCUCUUCCUCACUCUCCAUUUUCACCCUUUUCGCCCCAUUUCUCACAGCCUGGUUUUUCUCACUCCUCUUUUUGCCCCUUUUCUCCUCAUUUUUGGAGGGUGGCUUCUUCCUCUUCUCCUCUUCCUCCUCCUCUUCCUCAUCAUCAUCUUCUUCCUCCUCGUUUUCCUCUUCCUCUUCGUCACUCUCUAUUUUUACCCUUUUCGCCCCAUUUCUCACAGGCUGUUUUUUCUCGCUCUCACUCAUCUUUUUGCCCGUUUUCACCCCAUUUUUGGAGAGCGGCUUCUUCCUCUUCUCCUCCUCUUGCUCCUCAUCCUUGUCCUCAUCAUCCUCCUCCUCUUCCUCUUCAUCUUUGUCUUCAUCACUCUCUAUUUUUACCCUUUUCGCCCCAUUUCUCACAGCCUGGUUUUUCUCACUCCUCUUUUUGCCCGUUUUCACCCCAUUUUUGGAGGGCGGCUUCUUCCUCUUCUCCUCUUCCUCCUCCUCUUCCUCAUCAUCAUCUUCUUCCUCCUCGUUUUCCUCUUCCUCUUCGUCACUCUCUAUUUUUACCCUUUUCGCCCCAUUUCUCACAGGCUGUUUUUUCUCGCUCUCACUCAUCUUUUUGCCCGUUUUCACCCCAUUUUUGGAGAGCGGCUUCUUCCUCUUCUCCUCCUCUUGCUCCUCAUCCUUGUCCUCAUCAUCCUCCUCCUCUUCCUCUUCAUCUUUGUCUUCAUCACUCUCUAUUUUUACCCUUUUCGCCCCAUUUCUCACAGCCUGGUUUUUCUCACUCCUCUUUUUGCCCGUUUUCACCCCAUUUUUGGAGGGCGGCUUCUUCCUCUUCUCCUCCUCUUCCUCCUCAUCCUCGUCCUCAUCAUCCUCCUCCUCUUCUUCCUCUUCAUCUUUGUCUUCAUCACUCUCUAUUUUCACCCUUUUCGCCCCAUUUCUCACAGCCUGGGUUUUCUCGCUCUCACUCCUCUUUUUGCCCCUUUUCUCCUCAUUUUUGGAGGGCGGCUUCUUCCUCUCCUCCUCUUCCUCCUCCUCAUCUUCCUCCUCAUCUUCGUCCUCCUCCUCCUCUUCCUCACUCUCCAUUUUCACCCUUUUCCCCCCAUUUUUCACGGGCUGGUUUUUUUCACUCUUCUUCCUCGUUUCGCCCCUUUUCUCCUCAUUUUCGGGGGUCACCUCCUCCUCUCUCUCCUGCUCUUCCUCCUCCUCCUCCCCCUCGCUCCCUUUUUCCCCCUUUUUCCCCCCAUUUCGCAGGGGCGGGGCCUCCCCUUCCCCUUCCCUCCCCAUUCCGCCUCUUUUCGCCCCAAUUCCAGGGGGCGGGGCCUCCCCCUCCCCCCCGUUCCCGAUUUCCCCCUUUUCUGCCCCAAAUCCCGCCGUCGGGGCCUCCAUUUCGGGCUCCGUUUCCCCCUUUUUUCGCCCCAAAAAACGCGGGGGGGGCGGGACUUCCGCUUCGGGCCCGCCUCUUCCGGGUUACUGGCGGUCACGUGGGGGGCCCUUUGCUAUCCCACAAUCCCCCGCGCUCCCCGCCGCCCGCUGGGGGCCGCCAUUUUGUCGCCGCCGCCGUCUGCCGGGCGCCGCCAUUUUGUUUCCGUACAGGCGGCGGCGGGAGGAGGGGGGAGAGGGGGCGGCGCCCAGCGCGGCGCCAGCC
RNAcentral lists this long non-coding RNA (2797 nucleotides) under Calidris pugnax (ruff). Its description in RNAcentral is "lncRNA (ENSCPUG00000001028.1)". The record is from RNAcentral. Lineage: Eukaryota; Metazoa; Chordata; Aves; Charadriiformes; Scolopacidae.